CCUACGGGAGGCUGCAGUGGGGAAUAUUGCGCAAUGGGCGAAAGCCUGACGCAGCGACGCCGCGUGGGUGAUGAAGGCCUUCGGGUUGUAAAGCCCUGUCGGGUGGAACGAACGAUCUGGCGGCGAAUAACCGCCGGGUGUGACGGUACCACCGAAGGACGCCCCGGCUAACUACGUGUCAGCAGCCGCGGUAAGACGUAGGGGGCGACCGUUGUUAGGAUUUACUGGGCCGGCUAGGUAAGUCGGUUGUGAAAGCCCUCGGCUUAACCGAGGUCCCGCAUCCGAUACUGUCUGGCUCGAGUCUAGGAGAGGAAAGCGGAAUUCCCAGUGUAGCGGUGAAAUGCGUAGAUAUUGGGAGGAACACCGGUGGCGAAGGCGGCUUUCCGGACUAGUACUGACGCUGAGGCGCGAAAGCUAGGGGAGCGAACGGGAUUAGAUACCCCUGUAGUC
This 450-nucleotide ribosomal RNA is filed under the name uncultured bacterium. RNAcentral's name for it is "partial 16S ribosomal RNA". It matches the Rfam family "Bacterial small subunit ribosomal RNA", at positions 338 to 795 of the family's 1533-position model. The record is from RNAcentral.